ACUUAUUUCAAAUGUGCAUUGUUUUGAUGCAGACGGAGACGGGUUGACGGAGACAGACCAACUGUGGGAGACGCGAUAAACGGACGAGAAGAGUGAUACAUACCACUAAGCUGACGGAGUUUGACGUGAUGGACUAAGCAGUUCCAACAGAAAUAGUCGUCUAAUCCUGUAUAUGGCACAAAAAUAUAAAAUGUGUACCGUGCACGACGAGGUUAUCAAUGGCCGGAGCAAAUCGUAUUGCAAGUAAGAUAUAUGGAAUUAUUACACACACUCAACAGAGAUCGAGUUCCAAACGUGCACACCAACAAUGAGUAAGUAGUCGAUCGAUAGAGAAAUUGUAAUUACAUUUCUAGAAUUUAACUGCUUUAUAUACGAUUCACCCGACAAAACGUAUUAUCUAAUUUAUUAUUAAAUCAUACAGUUGUUAUUAGUUACUCUUAUUAGUUACUUUGUUAUUAGUUAAUUUUGUAUAUUUCUGAUACAACGAUGUUCUUUGAUUGCAAGUUCUGUUAUUAAUCUAAGUACUAUUAGAAAUAUUAUCAAUAUUUGUAAGAUAUGAAUUUCUUUUAUUAUAACAGUGCAAAAUAU
Non-coding RNA from Megalopta genalis, 588 nucleotides. Lineage: Eukaryota; Metazoa; Arthropoda; Insecta; Hymenoptera; Halictidae. The record is from RefSeq and is a predicted model, not a curated record.